Cerioporus squamosus is the source of this 107-nucleotide non-coding RNA. NCBI's taxonomy places the organism in Eukaryota, Fungi, Basidiomycota, Agaricomycetes, Polyporales, Polyporaceae. The record is from the annotation of a GenBank genome assembly.
GGCCUGGUGGUCUAGUAGUAUGAUUCCUUCUUAGGGUUGUCCUGGGCUUUGCACCAAAGGAUUACACAAUAUGGAGGAGGUCCCGGGUUCAAUUCCCGGCCAGGCCC